RNAcentral lists this ribosomal RNA (253 nucleotides) under uncultured bacterium. RNAcentral's name for it is "partial 16S ribosomal RNA". It matches the Rfam family "Bacterial small subunit ribosomal RNA", at positions 524 to 776 of the family's 1533-position model. The record is from RNAcentral.
GACGAACCGAGCGAACGUUGUUCGGAAUCACUGGGCUUAAAGGGCGCGUAGGCGGGUGCUCAAGUCCGUGGUGAAAUCCUCCGGCUCAACCGGAGAACUGCCUCGGAUACUGGGCGUCUCGAGUGUGGUAGGGGUAUGCGGAACUAUCGGUGGAGCGGUGAAAUGCGUUGAUAUCGAUAGGAACUCCGGUGGCGAAGGCGGCAUACUGGACCGCCACUGACGCUGAGGAGCGAAAGCGUGGGGAGCGAACAGG